UCCCCGGUGGUCCAGUGGCUAAGACUCUGGGCUCCCAGUGCAGGAGUCCAGGUUCAAUCCCUGGUCGGGGAA
This 72-nucleotide transfer RNA is filed under the name Capra hircus (goat). It matches the Rfam family "tRNA". From Rfam's summary of the family: Transfer RNA (tRNA) molecules are approximately 80 nucleotides in length. Their secondary structure includes four short double-helical elements and three loops (D, anti-codon, and T loops). Lineage: Eukaryota; Metazoa; Chordata; Mammalia; Artiodactyla; Bovidae. The record is from Rfam by way of RNAcentral. RNAcentral also lists the same sequence under 1 other name.